Molecule: transfer RNA, 71 nt
Filed under: Marmota monax (woodchuck)
Lineage: Eukaryota; Metazoa; Chordata; Mammalia; Rodentia; Sciuridae
Description: tRNA.Ala
Source: RNAcentral
GUUAAUAGUUUUGUGGUAGAGUGCUUGCCUAGCAAGCUUGAGGCCCUGGGUUUAAUCCCCAGUACAUAAUA